This is a long non-coding RNA of Salvelinus fontinalis (brook trout), 4686 nucleotides long. RefSeq lists it as uncharacterized. Lineage: Eukaryota; Metazoa; Chordata; Actinopteri; Salmoniformes; Salmonidae. The transcript has 3 exons. The record is from RefSeq and is a predicted model, not a curated record.
GCUACGGGCAGUGCUACGAGCAGUGCUACGAGCAGUGCUACGAGCAGUGCUCCUCAGCUGAACUGUAUCUGCUGCCUGUUUAACAGUGGGGAGAAGACAUUAUUAGGCGCCGUGCUCCUCCCUCUCCACAGCCAGGGAGCCUUAUCUGUCAGCCAUUAGUUAAUCAAGGCUGGUAACGUAAAAGUAGAGCAGAAAACUGGCACAGCGCGUGGGGCCAAAGGACAACCUCUGAGAGCUGAGCUGAGCAGAGCAGGAGGAGGGCAAGGACCCGGGAACCGACCAACUCCUCCACUCUAAACUCUACUACCAGGCUAGGCUGCUGCCUCACUCUACUCAACACUGGAUCAGGCUGCAAUUGUAUGAUGACAGCCGCCCAUUCCAUCGCAGAGAACAGGUCCUGUUUUGCAAGAAAGUUUCAAAGACAGAAGUCUAAACAAGACAUGCUGCCGACGUGGGAAAAGCUGGUAAGAGCAGAGCAUCGUGGGGCGGAGGAAUGUCAGAGUCAUAGAUCUUUCAUCCUCAAGGCCAAAAUAGCCACACACAUGCCUGAUCAUCUCCAUGCAUGGGAAGAAACGAUAAGCAACACCUCAUAUUAGCACUAAUACAGUCCAGUCCAACCCUGGCCAACGUGGUCCAAAUCUGGCAUCCAGACAUCAGUGGCCAAAGAUAUAUCGUUAGACAAUUACUACACGAGUAAGUAGGCUGUAUUAACUGAAAUUAAUUGGUAUUAACUCGCAAGUAGGAUUUCCUCACAAAAGAGUUGGUACAAACCAAUGUCAUAAGUAUAUUUAGGUACCGAAGGUAAAAAAUAGGGACAUUUCUUAUUGGCGUCACCAUGGAGUUUAUUGUAAGGGUAAUGAUGAUUGAAAAGGAUAUUGCAACGUCUAAAUAAUUAUUGGUCUGUGUUAACAAAGUUGACAAAAUGUUCACUACAAGAGCUUUAAGGCUGCUUGUGAUGGAAAAUGAAAGCAGUCGACUAAACUCAACUGUGUAGUUGGUGCCAAACAAUCCUAAAAGGCAUAUUAAGUUUCCCCAACAGGAUUCUCUUUUUAAGUCAACACCACUCAGAAAAGAUGAACUGAGCAACCAUAAGUCAACUUUCGGGAAUGACAAAAACAACCAGUUUUUCUACCUGUCCAAACAUUCAGCUUGAACCAAGAUCCAUUUUCAUGUCCCACUCCAGAAAAACUCCAUUGGUGCUUCAUUGAGUACAAUGCUGUUGUCUCAUAAAGCUAUGCCAGACCAGGAAAGUGAACCUGAUCUAGAACAGCAGAACUAAAAAGACGGAACAAUGCAUGAGAUUCUAAAGUGACCUUUUGGCCCAGGAUUUCCAAGAGCUUCCAAGAGUCCCUAUUCCUGGCAAAUUCCAUCCAUCCAAAUUCCAUCUUCUUCUUACUCAACACCACUUUAAGCUGUCAAGACCCAAACUCUAGUGUCAUUUAUCCUAGUGACGAGUUCACAACCAAAGCCAAAGACAUGGUGUUCUUUAAAAUAAAUAAAUAAAAUCAAAUGUUAUUUGUCACAUGCUUCGUAAACAACAAGUGUAGACUAACAGUGAAAUGCUUACCUACGGGCCCUUCCCAUCAAUGCAGAGAAAAAUGAUAGAAAAAAAUGAUGACACGAGGAAGAAAUACACAACGAGUAACAAUAACUUGGCUAUAUACAUGGGGUACAGCUAACGUUUGUCUUUCGGCAUUGUUCAUCCUGGGUUCCCAUAAAAGAAUUGCAUCGUAUGACACCAACGACCUUGACCUUGGCCUUGUGAUCCAACCAAAAAGCUACAGUGGACUCCAAAAGUGGUGUUAAACAUUGAGUAUAACUGUGUCCUUAACAGUAGAAGGAAAACAAGUUAUUAGGUAAAAGCAUUGACUACAAAGUCAAAGGCAACUAUAAUUCCUUGGCUUCCAGCACAUCAGAUAUAAUAUUUGCCCACCAAUGACUGCCUCACGUAGCCACACUGUAUAUUUUCAGAUCCUAGACGGGUGUCAAACAUACGGGCCGGUUCCCGGGAUGGUUUGAGUAUUUACUAUAUUUUUUAAUAGGACUUUAUCAUUAUUCUAUCAUUAUACUGAGUGGCGCAGCGGUUUAAGGCCCUGCAUCGCAGUGCUAGAGGCCCAGGUUCGACCCAGGUUCGAUCCCGGCUGUGAUCCGGAGUCCCUUAGGGCAUUGCACAAUUGGCCCAGUGUCGUCCAGGUUGGGGGAGGGUUUUGCCGGGGCAGGCCGUCAUUGUAAAUAAGAAUUUGUUCUUAACUGACUUGCCUGGUUAAAUAUAUACAGUAUAUAGUUUUUUAAAUUUGAUACUUUAAAAUGACAAAAAGCAAAUCCAAACUGUGUAGAAAUAAUACAGUUCCUUGACUGUGUCCAGCUCGCUAAUAAUAACAAAAAUGAAAACAAGACAGUCAGGGAGCAUAGAAAAUUCAAAAAACAAUGGAUAGAUUACGAUAAAAAAAAAAUUGAUGGCGAGGAAAUAUAACCAAUAUUCAGUGCGGCCCUCCAGACCUCAUUGACAAAAUUAGUUUGUGCUUGCAAUUUACUCUGGCGGAUCUGACACUGGAGGAUGACAUAAGAGGACUGAACAUUGCGUGAUGUAAACGGUGGUGUCGUUUAAUCACAAAAGGAUUGGGAGGGAGACGUUGGGGCUGAAUAUGAGUACUGUAGGCUCAGACAUUGACUUGCUGGAAUGUCUUCACCAUCUGUGAACCAGCGGCCCUAAAGCUCUGAGAGACAGAUGCGCAAGUAGAAACAGACCUGUAGAAACAGACCUGCCAUUAGCCAGGUAGCUAAUGUGGAACAUGCAAUACAGGACCCACAUCAGUAAAGGUAGAGCCUGGAAGUCUUCAUUUAAAGAGUAAUAUACUGACGUCUAUUGCACUGCUAACUGACGCCACACCAGAAAGCAGCGGUGUAGGGUGUCUUGGUAAGAUGUGAGGUAAAAAGUGACAAGCUUUACUUUCUAGGGAGAUAUGCUAUUUUGAGUGGGUUAUCACGUUCUUCUAGGGCAUCCUCAAACUCUUUCCCACUGAACCAAGUUUGGGGAUACAUUUUUUUUGAGACAAAUAUGAAAAGUUUGUACAGUCCAACUACCAAGGCACAUCAACAUGAUAGCCACCAACAAGCCCCAACAUGAAUAAUCUCCAGUAGAGACGAGGAGAGAGGAACAAGUCCCAUUUCAGAGAGGAUUCACCCCAUAAGCUUUAGAGACCUUUCUCUCAGAUGCGUUGCAAUGCCAGUUGAGGACCUGUUCCCAAUCAUUGGACGAGCCAGGGAAAGCCUAGUUUAAACGCUUCCAGAUCUCUUAUUUUAUCCCCCUGCAUCCAUCCCCAGCUGUAGCGCCGGCGAAACAAAAAUCUGCCUAAACUAGUCUUUUCCCCUCUCUCAAUCUUUUCCCCAAUCUCUCUCCCCUUGCUCUGCUCUGUAUCUAGUUUCUUUGUGGUCGCGAGUCAACUCCUGCCAUUUUAUGUCAUCACCCUCUGUCACUGAGACUGCAUUAGUGGCUAUGUCUAAACGAGGCUUUAAUGUACAGGACUAGGCCACAUAGAGCCAAAUAUAUAUCAAACUUUGAAGUUUGACAUCAACCGUGCUUGAUCGCAGAUGUCUAUAUAGGCAGGAGGGUUCACUGGUUUAGAUGAAAGACUCUCCAUUGCUGACACUUAAUAUUUAUGUUCCAUAUGUACUAUAUAAAUAUCUUGUCUAGUUCUCUCUCAGUCAAAUGUUAAGAAAUGUGUGUGUUUUGUUGGGCAAUCUGGGAUAAAAACAAAUCAAUCUUUGUAUACAAGCCAUGUCUUUUCUAUGUCAUUUGUUUCUAUUGAGGCAUGGCAGCAUUAUUUCAUUGCUCUCUAAAUUGCAAGAAAUUGCAAGAAAUAAAUCUUGGACACAUCAAUGUUGAUGGAGAGCAUGCUAAUAUUACAGUUGUUUUUUAAUCAAAUCCUGGGACAAAAACAAAUUACUUUGAUUUAAAACAGACAGGAAAUGUAAUAAUGAAAAAAAAAGAGACUUAUUUUGAUAUAUGUUUUGGCUGUACUCCAUGUUUUCCAACUGUUUGGCCUUUCGAUACAGACUUUGUUGCUGCUGUCAAAGCUAUACUUCUGUCCAAAGAUGUUGAUGCCUCAGAUAACAUCUCGAAGCAGAAUCUGGUUUGGUGCCUCCAAAGGCUUAACCCUCCGAACAUGCCAAAUCCUACAAGUAUACUGACCAAUACAACUCAUCAAUUGCAUAAUUUGGAUUGGUUUAACAUUGAAUAAACCACCACUAACAGGGACCAAAUGUAACAUUAGCAUCCUGCUCUGGUUUCCAACCUAUGACAAGAACCAUGCUUGAAGAACUGAGACUGAGGGAACCUCCAAGUCUCCAAGUUCUAGCUAGCUCCAGUUGAUCAGUGCUAGACCGGCAUAUGGGCUGGAUCAGAAAACACAAGCUCAAUGAUGUUACUACCAUCUGACCCCAGGGUGACAGGUUUAGGGAAUUUGCCUCAGUCCAAAGUCAAAUAUGUUUAUGUUGUGGAUUUCAUUUUAACAAAUUGUUUGUUAGUGCUGCUUCACCCCAAAAAUGUUUGCAGCUGUUUUUAAAGCAGUAGUCAUUACUUAAUGAUGUUACCAUUGUUGCUAUAUCUAUUUUGUGUGGAACUUUACUGCUCCCAAACUGUGUUUGUGUAACAAAAUCUGUGCAAUAAAUGUCAAUUAUUUUCUG